Long non-coding RNA from Pyrus x bretschneideri (Chinese white pear), 2610 nucleotides. RefSeq lists it as uncharacterized. The record is from RefSeq and is a predicted model, not a curated record. Lineage: Eukaryota; Viridiplantae; Streptophyta; Magnoliopsida; Rosales; Rosaceae. The transcript has 3 exons.
GUUCAUCAUGUAAAAGCUCCACUUAGGGUUGGAUGUAUUUUUGUGUUUUGAUGUUAUGGGCGUGUCUAUCCUACAACCGGACCAUCGGUGCAGACUGAAAUCAAACAACCAUGAGCAAGUCGAGCUUAUCAGUAGAACCGGUGCUAAAGACCCAUAUAAUGCAAUCCGUAUAACUGUUUCCCCUCUUCACCUCCUCCUCCCUUUUUCUCCAUAGAAUCUCAGAGAAGCAUGUCAAAGCCAUUAGAGAGAUACCAAAAACUCGUCCUCAAAGAAUCAUUGCCCAAAUCCACAGGUACCCAUUUGCCCGCAAAGAGCUCAGCUUAAUCCUCAGGUGCGCUUACAAGAAAUUCCUAUCUCUUGUCUUCCAAGACACUUUCACGACCUUUUGCCGCAUUCUUGAAAUGCAGAUUCACGAUGCUAUUUUGGUAGCCCAUCUCCUCCUAUAGAGCCUUGAGGCCGAAGCAAAAGAAGAAUAUGGCUGUCGCAGAAUACAAGAAUGCAAUGGUUGCUCAUAAGGCGCACUAAAGCACGCCAAGAAGAAAAGGGUAACAUGAUUUUACUUUGUGUUUGCUAAUAUCUGAAUAUGUUCGAUGUUUUUGAAGCUUAUCAGUUGGAGAUCAUGAAGUUGCUUGCUUUAAUACGUUAAUCGAAUAAUGUCCUUGUUAAUUGUUUUGCCUCCUCUCCCUGUAGUUUCGGGUUUAACUCAGCUGCCACAAGAUGUUCUUGUUCAAGGGUUCCUUGAUAUGCAAUCCUUGGUCUAUGUUGGACUAGUUUGCUAGUAAUUCCGAUUUCCUUCAAUUAAGUUCAUGUAUUCGGUUUUCAUGAUUUAAACUGCAUUUUAAUUAGCAAUUAUCCCAAUGCUAAAACUAUUAUAAUGGUUUGAAUGUGAUGAUUUAGAGCAGCUUCUGUAUUAUGUUUCUUUGUAUGUAAAUGACCAUAUAUAUUUUGGAGCACCACUGAUGUAAGUACUCUCUCUAUCUAUAUACUGUCUUAUUAUCCCGUCACUCUAUUCAGAGAUCAUUUGCUGUUUAUUAGUGUUUCUGUGACUUGAAUUGAUUGAACUGAUGUUCCUAAAUUUCUUCUUGCCAAGCCUUUAGAAAGGAUUAUUAGGUACAGUGAAUGAUCUUAAAUAACACAAAAAUUGGCCUAAUUAUUAUUGGAAAGCCGUUUUUUUUCUUAGUAAAAUGUUUUCAGGUUUGUUAAUGCAGUUCUGACAAUACCUAAGGGGACUCUAUUUCCUAUGUGCGUGAACUUGGCAUUAUGCCAUGGACUGAUUGGACCAGCAAUGUACUUUGGACUCAUUGGUGAUGGUCGGCCAAUUGGAAGAUGUGAUGAUAUGUGGGUUGGCUGGUGCAUGAAGGUAAUUUCAAUUGUUUCUUUAGUUAUCUAUCAAUCAUUCACCUUUUUUUUUCCGCACUUUUAGAUUUUUUAAGGUGGAUUUAGCACUUCAACUGUAAUAUUGAUUGGAUUACUGUUCAUAAGAUUAAACUAACUUGUGGUUUGGAUUAUUAAGAAAAUGAUUGACGGUGGAGUUUGUAUGUUGUCAGGAAUGAAUUAAGAUAACUUGGUAUGAAAGCCAAACGUCCUUUUAAUAACUUACGGACUUAAGAGAUUUCUAGCUUGUGAUCAUUACCUCCAAGCUUUCUAGAUGUACACUGGGUUGAAUUUAUUGUCUUCAAUGUGCCUAUAAACAUCACAUUAUUUUCGAUGUCACCUUCAUCUCUGAAGAAGUGUUGAAGGUUGGUUGCAUAUGUUUGGAUUUAGAUUGAUUUGAGACAAUGUCCUAGAGUAGGCUUCCUAUGGAUUCUGAUUUCAAUUUCGAGCCCUGGAUGCUAGCUACCUUAUAUGUCCUCACUUUUCACCAAGGUUAGUGGGAAAUUAUUGCCCUUUGGAAAUUAGUGUUGUUAAUAUAAUUGAGGAUUAGUGUUCUUUCCCUAUAGGUCAAAUAGUGAAGUGAUGAUUUAGCACACAUUGGAUAGCUGUAGUGGGACAUUUGAAAAAGAAGCAAACAAGUAGUUUGAAAUUAAUACACUAGUAGCAAAGCCAAAAAGACGAUGUAACAAUUAGUCUCGACAGAUCUUGAUAAUGUUGUCCACUGGAAGUGUGGAGUGUAUUACCUUCUUCAUAAGAUGAUACCUUUUCAAUCCAGAUAUCUAAAAUCACUGAAGAAUGAGUGACUAUCUCUCAACCCUACUCUCUGGGGUUCCAGAGCGUGUCAAUUUUUCCCCAGCACGCACUUAGUUUUCUCCCUCAACUGUUUCCAUGUUCAACUCUUUCGACUGAAUAAAGAAAUUCGGAGCUCUGCACGCCCUAAUCAGAGAUUAAAUCGAAGAUUUGGAGUUUAAUCAGAGAUUUUGGAGCACAAUCGGAAGUCUUGUAAGCAGAUUCUGGAGCACAAUCAGAGUUCUUCCUUUUACCUUGAGGCCUUAGUGAAUGACGGGAACCAUGUCGCCUUCCUGUUGGUGCGAGUCUACUUCUGGCGGAGUGUGUAUAGGGAUGCCGUGUAUGACAACUUUUGGACCAACUGACACAAUUAUGUAUUUGGGACAAUUUUUGACAACAUUCUAACAUUCCUAGAGGUUGAAUGAUUUGUUUUUGUUUUUUGCAUUG